UACGUAGGGUGCAAGCGUUAAUCGGAAUUACUGGGCGUAAAGCGUGCGCAGGCGGUUUGGUAAGUCUGUCGUGAAAUCCCCGGGCUUAACCUGGGAAUGGCGAUGGAGACUGCAAGGCUAGAGUUUGGCAGAGGGGGGUAGAAUUCCACGUGUAGCAGUGAAAUGCGUAGAGAUGUGGAGGAACACCGAUGGCGAAGGCAGCCCCCUGGGUCAAAACUGACGCUCAUGCACGAAAGCGUGGGGAGCAAACAGG
This 253-nucleotide ribosomal RNA is filed under the name uncultured bacterium. Its description in RNAcentral is "partial 16S ribosomal RNA". It matches the Rfam family "Bacterial small subunit ribosomal RNA", at positions 524 to 776 of the family's 1533-position model. The record is from RNAcentral.